GACGAACGCUGGCGGCGUGCUUAACACAUGCAAGUCGAACGGAAAGGCCCUGCUUUUGUGGGGUGCUCGAGUGGCGAACGGGUGAGUAACACGUGAGUAACCUGCCCUUGACUUUGGGAUAACUUCAGGAAACUGGGGCUAAUACCGGAUAGGAGCUCCUGCUGCAUGGUGGGGGUUGGAAAGUUUCGGCGGUUGGGGAUGGACUCGCGGCUUAUCAGCUUGUUGGUGGGGUAGUGGCUUACCAAGGCUUUGACGGGUAGCCGGCCUGAGAGGGUGACCGGCCACAAUGGGACUGAGAGACGGACCAGACUCCUACGGGAGGCAGCAGUGGGGAAUAUUGCACAAUGGGCGGAAGCCUGAUGCAGCAACGCCGCGUGCGGGAUGACGGCCUUCGGGUUGUAAACCGCUUUCGCCUGUGACGAAGCGUGAGUGACGGUAAUGGGUAAAGAAGCACCGGCUAACUACGUG
This 468-nucleotide ribosomal RNA is filed under the name uncultured bacterium. Its description in RNAcentral is "partial 16S ribosomal RNA". It matches the Rfam family "Bacterial small subunit ribosomal RNA", at positions 28 to 507 of the family's 1533-position model. The record is from RNAcentral.